Molecule: long non-coding RNA, 1267 nt
Organism: Ictalurus punctatus (channel catfish)
Lineage: Eukaryota; Metazoa; Chordata; Actinopteri; Siluriformes; Ictaluridae
Source: Ensembl
UUUUUUAUUAACAACAGAGUGUUAAAUGCAAUUCCAUUCAAAUGUCAGCAGUACAGAUUGUUUUAACGUGAAACAGCAUCACACAAAUUACGCCGUGUUGCCGUGUAAACUGCAUUCAUUUCAAAAUGUAAAAAAUUCUAAGGAGACGUUGAAAACACCGCAUUAAUGAACGACCCUGACCGAGACAGAUGUGCGUCCGCAGCCAGGAGUCAAGAGAGCAAAACGGUCUCUGGGUGGGAGGGGCAUACUCUCUCUCCCCCUGUCAAUCACAGUCAUGCUAGCCAAUUGUGGAUGUCUGUGAGCUCGUGUCUGUGGAAGAGGGUCGAUAGUUCUUUCCUAGCUGAAGUACGACAGAAGAGAGCUGACUCGUGGGUGGGAACAGGCAAGUCAAUUCAAAAUGUCCCAUUUUAGUUUGGGCCAAGAAAAACGAAUGAAAAUAAAAAGCUGUUUGAAUGAAUGCAACGUACACGAGCCUCACGCCACCCUGAUGUCUAAUAUCAUCUCUAAACCUGAAAAUCGUACAGAUAAAUCCACUGAUAUCUUUUAGUCAGGUUUUCGAAUGAACACACAUUUUCACAGCAAAAGAAGCCACAACUAAAAGCAGAAGUAGUACACAAACAUGAAUGUCCUGUAAUAAACAGUGGCAUUAGUGUUCCUGUGUGUAAUACUGUGAUGUGUAAACACAACUCAUACUGAACCUACAUCACGAACAUAAAGUGUAAACGCAACUCGUUUUAACAGAUAAAUACCAUUCUGAUGCAAUAACGACGACACGUUCGGCUCCGCUGGUCUACUUUCACCUCACAGCUGAGCUUUUCUGUACAAGCAGCAGAUCUAGCAGCGUCCCGCCACACAGCGAGCGGUUCUGAACCUCCGCACUUCUGAACCUCCGCACUUAACAACGACAGAAGACAAACCACGACACUCUGAGGAGAUCUGCGACAUCUCCGACUCGUGACGUCACGUUCACGCCAAGCAACUCAAACCCUGCGUCACAUGAAGCACGGUGAAGUGUGAUCACAUUCCCACGGAACAUUCGUCUCCAUUACUAAACGACGUCAUAACACCAUGCACACGUAUCACAAUUUAAAUAAACAGUAUUUUAAUGAUCAAAAACAGUCUUGAUAAAUAAGCACGUGCGUAAAGACCGACAGUUUAACUCUGAUAUGGCUUUUAUUUAGCGACGGAGUAAAAUUACAUUUCUCAGAAUUGUUUUUAGAGCAAAAUCUAGAAAAAAAUCCGGUCCUGAUUCUGUGCUACAAAAAAG